ACACAUGCAAGUCGAGGGGCAUCAGUUUGGUUUGCUUGCAAACCAAAGCUGGCGACCGGCGCACGGGUGAGUAACACGUAUCCAACCUGCCUCAUACUCGGGGAUAGCCUUUCGAAAGAAAGAUUAAUAUCCGAUAGCAUAUAUUUCCCGCAUGGGUUUUAUAUUAAAGAAAUUCGGUAUGAGAUGGGGAUGCGUUCCAUUAGUUUGUUGGGGGGGUAACGGCCCACCAAGACUACGAUGGAUAGGGGUUCUGAGAGGAAGGUCCCCCACAUUGGAACUGAGACACGGUCCAAACUCCUACGGGAGGCAGCAGUGAGGAAUAUUGGUCAAUGGACGCGAGUCUGAACCAGCCAAGUAGCGUGAAGGAUGACUGCCCUAUGGGUUGUAAACUUCUUUUAUAUGGGAAUAAAGUUGUCCACGUGUGGAUUUUUGUAUGUACCAUAUGAAUAAGGAUCGGCUAACUCCGUGCCAGCAGCCGCGGUAAUACGGAGGAUCCGAGCGUUAUCCGGAUUUAUUGGGUUUAAAGGGAGCGUAGGCGGAUUGUUAAGUCAGUUGUGAAAGUUUGCGGCUCAACCGUAAAAUUGCAGUUGAUACUGGCAGUCUUGAGUGCAGUAGAGGUGGGCGGAAUUCGUGGUGUAGCGGUGAAAUGCUUAGAUAUCACGAAGA
Molecule: ribosomal RNA, 666 nt
Filed under: uncultured Bacteroidales bacterium
Lineage: Bacteria; Pseudomonadati; Bacteroidota; Bacteroidia; Bacteroidales
Description: bacterial SSU rRNA
Rfam family: Bacterial small subunit ribosomal RNA
Source: RNAcentral